Molecule: ribosomal RNA, 478 nt
Filed under: uncultured bacterium
Lineage: Bacteria
Description: partial 16S ribosomal RNA
Rfam family: Bacterial small subunit ribosomal RNA
Source: RNAcentral
GAUGAACGCUGGCGGCGUGCCUAACACAUGCAAGUCGAACGGAGUCCAGCCUUUAAGACCUUCGGGUCAAAGAGGGGAAGACUGAGUGGCGGACGGGUGAGUAACACGUGGGCAACCUGGAUCAUAGAGGGGGAUAACAGAGAGAAAUUUCUGCUAUUCCCGCACAAGCACACACUGCCGCAUGGCAGGUGGUGACACGAGGAUCGCUAUGGGAUGGACCCGCGUCUGAUUAGCCAGUUGGCAGGGUAAUAGCCGACCAGAGCGACGAUCAGUACCCGAUCUGAGAGGAUGCACGGCUACAUUGGGACUGAGACCCAGCCCACACUCCUACGGGAGGCAGCAGUGUGGGGUAUUGCACAAUGGAGGGAACCCUGAUGCAGCGACGCCGCGUGAGUGAGGAAGUAGUUCGGUAUGUAAAGCUCUAUCAGCAGGGGAGAUAAUGACGGUACCUGAUAAAGAAGCCCCGGCUAACUACGUG